Molecule: transfer RNA, 72 nt
Filed under: Methanobacteriota archaeon
Lineage: Archaea; Methanobacteriati; Methanobacteriota
Description: Euryarchaeota archaeon tRNA-Thr
Rfam family: tRNA
About the family: Transfer RNA (tRNA) molecules are approximately 80 nucleotides in length. Their secondary structure includes four short double-helical elements and three loops (D, anti-codon, and T loops).
Source: RNAcentral
GCCACCGUAGCUCAGCGGCAGAGCGGCGGUUUUGUAAACCGCAGGUCGGGAGUUCGAUCCUCUCCGGUGGCU